CUUCUCUCUUGAGCUCUUCUCCCUCAAACUCUCACGCGCUCUUUGCGCUCGCUCAUAGAGUUCCGAGUAAACAGACCUCCGUCCCGUUCUCCUCACGGUGAUAUCAGAGAUGGCAAUUAAAGAGAACGACGAAUGCAUAGACUUCACACUCGUUAAUCAGUCGUUGUUCGACUCACACGCGGAUUUUCGAGGCGCUCUCUCACCCUCUGCGCGCGCUGUGACUCUCAUGCCGAGCGCGCGGGACAAGUUUUUUGCUCUCGGAUGGGGCUUUGCUUCGGAGAGUAUCUUACCAGGAUGCUAAGUUGGAAAUUGAGGAUUCUGACGCCUACUAUGAGCCUCUCGCUCCUCCUCUCGGGGUGUAGUCAUCGAAAGAAAGGCAAGCUGGGUUACAGCAGCUCAGCCUGAAUCGACACACACACACACACACACACACACACACACACACUCUCUCUCUCUCUCUCUCUCUCUCUCUCUACAUUCAUACCCUGGUACUCACUAACAAUCUUCCCCGCUAUCCCCCUAUUUUUGUCUCUAACAAGCCUCAAUGCUUUAGAUUGAGCUGCUUCAACCCCUGGAUGGCGGUCUCAUGCGAGCCAGUACAUCAACUUCAACUUUCCUCAUUUUCUAAAUACACGAAGCCUUCAUUUUCACGCAUGAUUAAUAACAAAUGGACUGUUAUCUUCUUGGGGACGGCUGGCCAAAUACGACAGGAGACACUACAAGAUUCGAUAAGCAGCCUGUUUAGCGAUAGUGGAGGGGUGAAUGAAAGAAAGCUUGGAAAGAGAGAUGCAGCAGGGACUAGUCACACUCUACAUGCGCUGCAUGGCAUAAAGGUCCUGAUGGAGAGAAAGAGAGGGAGUGGGAGGGAGACAGAGAGGACGAGGGAAAGCCCAUAAUGCUGUAAUGCCCAUUAGCGAGAUUUCACGCACUCUCUCUGAUCUGACUCACUGACAGAAGCCUCUAAGAGACUAUAAUGAGAAUGUUUGGCAGGAUUCUGGAUGUUUGUGUGUGUGUGUGUGUGUGUGUGUGUGUGUGUGCGUGUGUGUGUGUGUGUGUGUGUGUGUCUUUUAUGUGGGUAGUGUGUAUCAGUGUCUAGGUGAAUGCAGUUUUUAUGUGCUCUGCUCAUCAGCUGUGACAGAAAAUAAUAAUAUUUGAUAUGAUGUAUGCACCCACACAUAUCCUCACACAUUAUUAUUCUUUGCCAAAAAAAAAAAAAAAAGAACAGUAAAUUCUUGCUUGGCAUUGUACAUUUUUCAAAAGUCAAAUGCACUGAGCAUUAAUUUUAGGGAUGUAUAUUAAAAUUAUGUCAAUUACUUUUGUUUUAGCCAAUAAAAAGCAAAUAUUAAAAUUGCA
Long non-coding RNA from Cyprinus carpio (common carp), 1353 nucleotides. The record is from Ensembl. NCBI's taxonomy places the organism in Eukaryota, Metazoa, Chordata, Actinopteri, Cypriniformes, Cyprinidae.